UAGAAUUGGACGGGGCCCGCACAAGCGGUGGAGCAUGUUGGUUUAAUUCGAAGCAACGCGAAGAACCUUACCAGGUCUUGACAUCCCGAUGCUAUUUCUAGAGAUAGAAAGUUACUUCGGUACAUCGGUGACAGGUGGUGCAUGGUUGUCGUCAGCUCGUGUCGUGAGAUGUUGGGUUAAGUCCCGCAACGAGCGCAACCCCUAUUGUUAGUUGCCAUCAUUCAGUUGGGCACUCUAGCGAGACUGCCGGUAAUAAACCGGAGGAAGGUGGGGAUGACGUCAAGUCCUCAUGGCCCUUAUGACCAGGGCUACACACGUGCUACAAUGGCCGGUACAAAGAGUUGCAAUACCGCGAGGUGGAGCUAAUCUCAUAAAGCCGGUCUCAGUUCGGAUUGGAGUCUGCAACUCGACUCCAUGAAGUUGGAAUCGCUAGUAAUCGCGGAUCAGCACGCCGCGGUGAAUACGUUCCCGGGCCUU
This 477-nucleotide ribosomal RNA is filed under the name uncultured Streptococcus sp. RNAcentral describes it as "bacterial SSU rRNA". It matches the Rfam family "Bacterial small subunit ribosomal RNA", at positions 907 to 1382 of the family's 1533-position model. Lineage: Bacteria; Bacillati; Bacillota; Bacilli; Lactobacillales; Streptococcaceae. The record is from RNAcentral.